GUGGCAGGGGCGGCGGUAAAACGUAGGAUCCGAGCGUUAUCCGAAUUUACUGGGCGUAAAGCGCGUGCAGGCGGUUUGGUAAGUUGGAUGUGAAAGCUCCCGGCUCAACUGGGAGAGGUCGUUCAAUACUGCCAGACUAGAGGAUGGUAGAGGGAGGUGGAAUUCCCGGUGUAGUGGUGAAAUGCGUAGAUAUCGGGAGGAACACCAGUGGCGAAGGCGGCCUCCUGGGCCAUUCCUGACGCUAAGACGCGAAAGCUAGGGGAGCAAACGGGAUUAGAAACCCCGGUAGUCCUAGCUGUAAACGAUGUGGACUUGGCGUUGGUGGGGUAAAAGCCAUCAGUGCCGUAGCUAACGCGAUAAGUCCACCGCCUGGGGACUACGACCGCAAGGUUAAAACUCAAAGGAAUUGACGGGGACCCGCACAAGCAGCGGAGCGUGUGGUUUAAUUCGAUGCUACGCGAAGAACCUUACCCGGGUUUGACAUACUGGUGGUAGGGAUCCGAAAGGUGACCGACCCUUCGGGAAGCCAGUACAGGUGCUGCAUGGCUGUCGUCAGCUCGUGCCGUGAGGUGUCCGGUUAAGUCCGGUAACGAGCGCAACCCUCGCCGUAUGUUAUAUGUGUCAUACGGGACUGCCGGUAUAAAGCCGGAGGAAGGUGGGGAUGACGUCAAGUCAGCAUGGCCUUUAUGUCCGGGGCUACACACACGCUACAAUGGCCAGCACAAUGGGUUGCAAGACCGCAAGGUGGAGCCAAUCCCUAAAGUUGGUCUCAGUUCAGAUUGUAGGCUGCAACUCGCCUACAUGAAGCCGGAGUUGCUAGUAACCGCAGGACAGCUAUACUGCGGUGAAUACGUUCCCGGGUCUUGUACACACCGCCCGUCACGUCAUGGAAGCUGGCAACACCUGAAGCCGGUAUCCUAACCCGCAAGGGAGGGAGCUGCCAAAGGUGGGGCUGGUAACUGGGACGAAGUCGUAACAAGGUAACC
Molecule: ribosomal RNA, 986 nt
Filed under: uncultured Chloroflexota bacterium
Lineage: Bacteria; Bacillati; Chloroflexota
Description: bacterial SSU rRNA
Rfam family: Bacterial small subunit ribosomal RNA
Source: RNAcentral